CGUACACUCCUGCGGGAGGCAGCAGUGGGGAAUUUUGGACAAUGGGCGAAAGCCUGAUCCAGCCAUGCCGCGUGCAGGAUGAAGGCCUUCGGGUUGUAAACUGCUUUUGUACGGAACGAAACGGCCUUUUCUAAUAAAGAGGGCUAAUGACGGUACCGUAAGAAUAAGCACCGGCUAACUACGUGCCAGCAGCCGCGGUAAUACGUAGGGUGCAAGCGUUAAUCGGAAUUACUGGGCGUAAAGCGUGCGCAGGCGGUUAUGUAAGACAGUUGUGAAAUCCCCGGGCUCAACCUGGGAACUGCAUCUGUGACUGCAUAGCUAGAGUACGGUAGAGGGGGAUGGAAUUCCGCGUGUAGCAGUGAAAUGCGUAGAUAUGCGGAGGAACACCGAUGGCGAAGGCAAUCCCCUGGACCUGUACUGACGCUCAUGCACGAAAGCGUGGGGAGCAAACAGGAUUAGAAACCCGGGUAGUCCCAUGAU
RNAcentral lists this ribosomal RNA (480 nucleotides) under uncultured organism. Its description in RNAcentral is "partial 16S ribosomal RNA". It matches the Rfam family "Bacterial small subunit ribosomal RNA", at positions 330 to 801 of the family's 1533-position model. The record is from RNAcentral.